CGGAUGUAGCUCAGCUGGCUAGAGCACCACCUUGCCAAGGUGGGGGUCGCGGGUUCGAAUCCCGUCAUCCG
RNAcentral lists this transfer RNA (71 nucleotides) under uncultured Yaniella sp. It matches the Rfam family "tRNA". Rfam says of the family: Transfer RNA (tRNA) molecules are approximately 80 nucleotides in length. Their secondary structure includes four short double-helical elements and three loops (D, anti-codon, and T loops). Lineage: Bacteria; Bacillati; Actinomycetota; Actinomycetes; Micrococcales; Micrococcaceae. The record is from RNAcentral.